Molecule: ribosomal RNA, 253 nt
Filed under: uncultured bacterium
Lineage: Bacteria
Description: partial 16S ribosomal RNA
Rfam family: Bacterial small subunit ribosomal RNA
Source: RNAcentral
UACGUAGGGGGCAAGCGUUGUCCGGAUUUAUUGGGCGUAAAGAGCGCGCAGGCGGUCGUUCAAGUCGCGUGUGAAAGCCCCCGGCUCAACUGGGGAGGGUCACGCGAUACUGAUCGACUCGAAGGCAGGAGAGGGAAGUGGAAUUCCCGGUGUAGUGGUGAAAUGCGUAGAUAUCGAGAGGAACACCAGUGGCGAAGGCGACUUCCUGGCCUGUUCUUGACGCUGAGGCGCGAAAGCUAGGGGAGCAAACGGG